Molecule: transfer RNA, 85 nt
Filed under: Sediminitomix flava
Lineage: Bacteria; Pseudomonadati; Bacteroidota; Cytophagia; Cytophagales; Flammeovirgaceae
Rfam family: tRNA
About the family: Transfer RNA (tRNA) molecules are approximately 80 nucleotides in length. Their secondary structure includes four short double-helical elements and three loops (D, anti-codon, and T loops).
Source: Rfam by way of RNAcentral
AGAGAGGUGGCCGAGUGGUUUAUGGCACACGUCUUGAACGCGUGUUGGCGCUUACGUCUCAAGGGUUCGAAUCCCUUCCUCUUUG